GAUGAACGCUGGCGGCGUGCCUAAUACAUGCAAGUCGAGCGAACAGACGAGGAGCUUGCUCCUCUGACGUUAGCGGCGGACGGGUGAGUAACACGUGGAUAACCUACCUAUAAGACUGGGAUAACUUCGGGAAACCGGAGCUAAUACCGGAUAAUAUAUUGAACCGCAUGGUUCAAUAGUGAAAGACGGUUUUGCUGUCACUUAUAGAUGGAUCCGCGCCCCAUUAGCUAGUUGGUAAGGUAACGGCUUACCAAAGAAACGAUGCGUAACGGACCUGAAGGGGUGAUCAGCCACACUGGAACUGAGGCACGGUCCAGACUCCUACGGGAGGCAGCAGUAGAGAAUCUUCCGCAAUGGGCGAAAGCCUGACGGAGCAACGCCGCGUGAGUGAUGAAGGUCUUCGGAUCGUAAAACUCUGUUAUUAGGGAAGAACAAAUGUGUAAGUAACUAUGCACGUCUUGACGGUACCUAAUCAGAAAGCCACGGCUAACUACGUG
Molecule: ribosomal RNA, 497 nt
Filed under: uncultured bacterium
Lineage: Bacteria
Description: partial 16S ribosomal RNA
Rfam family: Bacterial small subunit ribosomal RNA
Source: RNAcentral